AAAAAUACCCAGCAGGGAAGAUACCACGAUCACGAGGUGGUUUUCCCAGUGUGGUUAUCCAUUGUUUCUGGGUAUACUGACCCUUUGAUUCUCAAUGUGGAAACUGGACUGCAUAC
This 116-nucleotide small nuclear RNA is filed under the name Sorex araneus (European shrew). Its description in RNAcentral is "U1 spliceosomal RNA (ENSSARG00000019922.1)". Lineage: Eukaryota; Metazoa; Chordata; Mammalia; Eulipotyphla; Soricidae. The record is from RNAcentral.